GGCCCGACAGAGUUUGAUCAUGGCUCAGAACGAACGCUGGCGGCAGGCCUCAAACAUGCAAGUCUAGGGGGCGUAGCAAUACGUCACCGGCGGACGGGUGCAUAACACGUGGGAAUGUACUUACUGGUUCGGAACAACUCAGGGAAACUUGAGCUAAUACCGAAUGUGCCCGAAAGGGGAAAGAUUUAUCGCCAGUAAAUCAGCCCGCGUCCGAUUAGCUAGUUGGUGGGGUAAAGGCCCACCAAGGCAACGAUCGGUAGCUGUUCUGAGAGGAAGAUCAGCCACACUGGGACUGAGACACGGCCCAGACUCCUACGGGAGGCAGCAGUUGGGAAUCUUGGACAAUGGGGGAAACCCUGAUCCAGCCAUGCCGCGUGAGUGAUGAAGGCCUUAGGGUUGUAAACCUCUUUUUCCAGGGAAGAUAAUGACGGUACCUGGCGAAUAAGUCACGGCUAACUACGUGCCAGCAGCCGCGGUAAUA
Molecule: ribosomal RNA, 481 nt
Filed under: uncultured bacterium
Lineage: Bacteria
Description: bacterial SSU rRNA
Rfam family: Bacterial small subunit ribosomal RNA
Source: RNAcentral